RNAcentral lists this long non-coding RNA (2394 nucleotides) under Triticum aestivum (bread wheat). RNAcentral's name for it is "long non-coding RNA (TAES_LNC020989)". The record is from RNAcentral. Lineage: Eukaryota; Viridiplantae; Streptophyta; Magnoliopsida; Poales; Poaceae.
UUAUUAGCUACUUAUUGCUGAUGUGGUGAUGCUAGUAGUAUCGAUCUCGUAGCUUGGGGAUCGACCCUCCUGCUUUGCAAAGCGCAUUGGGGAUUUUCUUCAUUAGCCAGCAGUGGUAGUAGGUGUGGCCACUUCACCACCCGGCCUUGUUCAACCAAAGCAUGCUGCUACUGCUGUGAUUACUGACUGAUUUACCCUCAACGAAGAUCAUUGCGAGGCCGACUGGAGUGGAUUGGGGUGGAUGCUUGCUUGGCCUAAAUUGCCUCACACAAUACCUCUCUUCUAACUAAAAUAGUAUAAUUGGGUUAGCAUUUGUGCAUCUUGCUUCCUUUCCAUGGAGCUCACUUGCUGCUGCUAGAAUGUGUAGUAUGUAUGUAUGCUACAUGGGGCGAUGCGUAUGCGACAUUCAUAAAUAGUAUGUUAUCGAUAUGUUCUAGAAAGCUAAUAAAUAGUUUGAAAUUGUGAAUAAGAUGGUAAAGCAGUCAUAAUCAUGUCAAACUUUUUUGUUGUCUCAAUAAUAUGUUGUUCAAAAUUAACAGCGCCGAAUGUUUGAUUUCCGAAAAAUGUUGAUAUGGGAACUACGUCUGGUAAAUACUUCCAAGUCUGCUGCCUGAGCAUCAUCGACCCUGGUAUAUAGCACCACAUUUCUCAUUGUCUUACCUGGUUCCUAUGUUUAUAAAGCGGUAAAGCGAAGCGAGGAGCUAGGGGGGCGCCUCACUGCUUAAGCGAUAAAGCAUAAAGCGAGGCGACGCUUUAGACAGACUCUGAACCUGAUGGGCAGUAUAAUAGAGCACCAUUUAGUGAGACAUAUAUAUGUUGAUUCUAAUCCACCAGUGAGCCCAUAUAUUCUGAUCCAUCCACUAAGCAGUAAGCAACUAGCCAAUUGCUAUAAGAGAGGCAGUAGCACCUAACAGCAGAGGAGUUGUGCAUAGCAUAACACACAACAGAGCAGAAAAGGCUGGUGCAGAUCUGAGGAAGCUGCUGCCAGAGGAGAGAGGAAAGAGCUGAAAGCUUGGAUAUUUGCACGCUCUGGUUUUGGUUCUCUCUCUUUCUUUCCCCUCCUGUAACUGUUUCAAAUGUGAGCCCAGCCCUGUUUCCCUGCCAGGAAUCUCUGUACCCUGCCUGGCAAGUCUAAGGCGUCCUCUCUGCCUUAAAGCGCCAAUCAGGACGCCUAAGCAGGCGCUUCAGACGCUUUAGUGUCUAAGGCGGACGCCUUAGACACAUGCCUAAAGCGAGUUGGACGCUUUGAGCCUGGAGGGCGCUCUAACGCUAGCGACGCUUUAGGGACGCUUUACAAACAGAGCCUGGUUCAUACUUUGAUAUACCACAACUGGGUUUCUAAUCAUGCUCUAUUCCUAGUUGAAUUUUCAGGCGAUUCCGACAUCAUCAACGCAACACCAGCUGUACAAAGUAACUAAAAAUUCCCAGGUUGUACCCUGUUCAAACUAUGCUACAUAUCAGCACAUGCUAAUUGUUAAUGUGCAUGCUCAACCAGAAAUUAGAAUUGCCUCUGUAAGAUGUUGUUUGCCAGUCGUCCAACAGCAACUUGGUUCUGAUUAUCUUCUUAGUGAUGUUGUCUUGUUCUUUUUCUGAAGUAGUACUGCUUUAUCCAAGCCUGGAUCUCCUCUAUACUGUAGUCCUGCCAUGCAAUCUGAUCCUGACACAAAACAUUACUCUGUCUAACCCAUGUUUGAUUUAUAACAUAGUAAUAUUGUGUAGCUUGAUUAUUUGUAAAAUGGCGGCAAAUGCUGCUGCAAAGAUAUUAGUGGUAUAUGUGCAUGCAUUUGACAAUAUGAUAUCACAUGUGUGUUUGAACAUUAACCAUAUAGAUUAUGGUACUGUUAAUUUUGUGCACUUGAAUGAGUGCUUGGUGUUGAUAUUUUCUUAAAUGAGCAUUAUUUUGUCUUAUAAUAGAUUGAUUUGCACUGUUUUGGUUAAUCAUAGUCCCACAACCAUAUGUGAUUUGAUUGACUGAGAUGUUGCAGUAGACUUUGUUGCUAGCUAUUUAAGAUCACUUAAGAUAUUAUAUAAACAUCAUGUUGUGAUAGUGGUGGUCAUCGUGUUAAAUAAAUUGUAACACUGGUAGUCUAGCAGAAAUUUUGAUCAAAUUGGAACUUUCAUAUGCUUAUAAAGCUUUCCUAUGAACAUUCAUAGGGAUUUUAGCAUGGCUGUUGUUGGCCCUUUGUAUUAAUAUGUAAUUAGUGUAUGUACAAACUGAAUGUUAAAUUGACAAGGAUUUCUGAUGGCGGUGGUGCACAUCCCGCGCCAAUUCAAGGUGUCGGACUGUUUCCUGAACAGGAAGAAGGACUACAAGGACGGGACGUUCUCCUAGGUCGUCUCCAAUGCCAUCGAUAUGAAGCUCAGGGAUGACCUUGAGAGGCUCAAGAAGAUCAG